GGAUGUUUUUUAUUGCACAAGGUUACAGCUUAACUGUUAAAACAACAUUGGGGGCCUGAAAGGUUAUCUAGCUAUAAAUGCAAACAAGUUCACAGUAACAAUAUUUGUGGGUGUCUAAGUGUUGCAUAUGGGACAACGCUAUCCCAUCUGUGGCUUGCAUGAACUGAUUUUAUAAUUAAAUUGAAAUGAGGAAUUGGACUGCACAUACCAGUCUAGAGACCAUUCAAAGUUGUUAGCAGGAGUCAGAUUCAAUCCUGGUUGAGAAUACAAAUGGCAGAAUUCAAAUGGCACGAGAGGUCCUGCAUGAUCUUUCUAAUCAAGAACAGUUGCCACCUGCCAAUGCCAUCUUCAGGACACAUGGACACAAGAAAGGCAGACAGUAGUUGCAGCACAUACCUACAGAGCUUCUAUGCAUGACGCUGCACUUGCAAAAAAUGUCUUGUUUCAUGGGAAGAAUCAUAGCCAUGGUAUGGCUGAGGCAAGGAAGCUUCUUUGUCAUCCUCUCUUCCAGGAGAGCUUCAGCACUGGCAUCGCUGUAUGUCAUUCAACCAUACUCUUUCCUUGCCUUCCUCCACAAACUGAUGUACAACAUCUACAAGCACAGUUCAUAAGCCAGUGAAAAGUGCAAAUAUUAAGCCCUAUUUAUUGCUUGUUCCACCAAAACUUAGGUGAAGGAUGUUUUGGUCCAGUUUGCAUGCUGCCUGAAGAUACCGUCACAAUCACAAAUCUUGACAUAUAAACUCUGAAACACUUGGUACGAGGAAGUUGUGUACAAAUCCCAUGCGGGGUCUCAAGGAAGGGGCAAAUUUCAACCAGCAAAAUUCAUGGCCCAGCAGGCUGUGGAGGAUCCUGUCAGUUGCUAUGUUAUGUACCUCUCUCCCCCAAUCAUUUUAUUACCCUGAACAUCUGUGGAAACGUGGAGGUGCAGGGAGCCUCGAGGCUGCUCAGCAUGCUUGACUCCAUUUUCUCCUUAAACAUGUGCAAAUGCUACUUCUAUUUUCACCUUUGCAGAGCUGUGAUUUGCAGCACCAAAGCCUAAAUGACACCCAAGAUCCCUCCAGAGCAUUAAACGAACAAGCUAGUAGGACAUCUCACAGUCUGGGAAGUGCUAAAUUGAAAGCAGUAGUACAAACUACACUGCUUUGAAAAUGAACCAGUUGAAUUUCUUUGCUGUGAUCCAAAUCUGAGAAGUCUUUUCUCAUGGCUUUUUCUGUGUGAAUCCAGGCUCUGUGCACUCCCAGAAAAUGGAAACAGAAUUCUGAUUCAAGGCUUCUAAAGUAGAAAAUCAUGUGUUUCUCAUCUCGUUUUGGUUUCAACUGGAUUUAUACAAAGCAAAUACGAAGAGGACAGCCAGGAGACUAUCCACAGUAAUAUUUUGACAGAGUGGGUGUUUAACAUGUGUCUUGUCAGUGAGCUGCUGAUUUGAUACUAACAGUAGAUACAAGCCUCACAAAGUUAGUCAGGGGCAAUCAGUAGCACGUUAAAAGCUAGAACAUGACUAGGACUAUACAAGGUAGUUUGGGCUUGAGGAUUAAUAUUAGUUGAAGGACUGUGUUAAAAUAACUGGCUAUAAGGAGAAUACUUUGUAGUGGUAUCUCCUGGGCUGUCUGCAAGUUCUUCAGUUUCUUCUUAAAAAUAAGCCC
Long non-coding RNA from Strigops habroptila (Kakapo), 1643 nucleotides. The record is from Ensembl. Lineage: Eukaryota; Metazoa; Chordata; Aves; Psittaciformes; Psittacidae.